RNAcentral lists this long non-coding RNA (1166 nucleotides) under Gallus gallus (chicken). RNAcentral's name for it is "lncRNA (ENSGALG00010015099.1)". The record is from RNAcentral. Lineage: Eukaryota; Metazoa; Chordata; Aves; Galliformes; Phasianidae.
GGCCAGGGUUGAAAGAUGACACCGAGGAGCAAAGGAGGGGAGAACAGGAGCAGAUGAACCGUGCCAAAGGCUGAAUGCCUGGAAAUCCCCAGCAUGAAAGUCUUACGAUGAGCCCCAUAUGCAAUCUACCGCUGCCUUAGUAGAGGUAAGAAUUGAGGUUCCAAGUUGUCCCUUGCCUUAACUGGACCUGCUGGUAGAAGUGUACCAGAGAAAACUUCCUUACACUUUGUGGCACUUGAUAGUGCUGUUCAACACACGUGCAGAGUGGCGGCCCUGAGCACACCUCGUUGCAAGCUGCUUUGGGUUUAUGGUCCCUCUGUGGUCUUUGGGUAGCAUACUGGUCCUAGCUGGAGGAGUUUACAGCCAUGUUCUGGAAGACACAUUCUUUGUACUUACCUGUUAGAUUUUCAUAGAAGCUAUGUGUAUUUCCUAACAAGAUACAAAUGAUGGACUUGGUAUUCUUAGUGAUCUAUCCCUCUGCCUUCAAUCCAUUCUCCUGCAUAUCUUUUUGCUUUCCUUUCAUUGCAAUCAUGUUAACUGUGUACUGUAGCCAUUGCUGUCCGUGAUGUAUUUGUUUCAAAGCAUUUUACUUGUUAAGAGAGAGUUGGAUAACAAGUAAUAAAAAAAAUCCAAGCAUGUGACCAUUUGAUUGGUAAGUUUUGAGUGCAGUCCUACCAUCAUAAUGAAAGAGCAGAUCCCACAGAAUAAUACAAUGGAAGAAUAAUCUUUGCCACAGGGGAACUCUUGCAAGCAAAAUCAAUCUUGAUAGCUGUUUCUGUGGUUUAGAUGAAAUUAAUAGGCCGAGGGUGGGAAUGUAAUCCCAUGUUAACAACAUUUUUCAUGGCACCAUGAGCUGUGUAUCAUGCUCUCCUCAUGCAGUUGUGACCAUUUUUCAUAUAUCAAUACAUUAUGAUUCACCGUGAUGUACACAGAAACCAAAAGUCCAGAUGACGUUUUAGGGCUGUAACUGAAAGUUGGGGUUAUUUCUGUAGUUUAGCGUCUUGUUUUGUGAUUGUUGUUAGUUUUUUAUUUAUUCUUUUACGAAGAUGAUUCUAUUUUCUGUCUCUAUGAGAGGUUUACUUCUACAUUUAAGUAAUUUGCUAUUCUGCAGGGCCCACUUUAAGGAUUACAGGAAAAUUUAGCUUGGGCUUUUAAUACAAUGAAAU